GAUGAACGCUAGCGGCAGGCUUAACACAUGCAAGUCGAGGGGUAUUGGUUUUCGGACCAAGAGACCGGCGCACGGGUGCGUAACGCGUAUGCAAUCUACCUUUUGCAGAGGGAUAGCCCCAGAGAAAUUUGGAUUAAUACCUCAUAGUAUAGUACUUUGGCAUCAAGGAACUAUUAAAGUCACAACGGCAAAGAUGAGCAUGCGUCCCAUUAGCUAGUUGGUAAGGUAACGGCUUACCAAGGCUACGAUGGGUAGGGGUCCUGAGAGGGAGAUCCCCCACACUGGUACUGAGACACGGACCAGACUCCUACGGGAGGCAGCAGUGAGGAAUAUUGGACAAUGGGCGCAAGCCUGAUCCAGCCAUGCCGCGUGCAGGAUGACGGUCCUAUGGAUUGUAAACUGCUUUUAUACAGGAAGAAACACUCCGACGUGUCGGAGCUUGACGGUACUGUAAGAAUAAGGAUCGGCUAACUCCGUGCCAGCAGCCGACGG
Molecule: ribosomal RNA, 492 nt
Filed under: uncultured bacterium
Lineage: Bacteria
Description: bacterial SSU rRNA
Rfam family: Bacterial small subunit ribosomal RNA
Source: RNAcentral